This is a long non-coding RNA of Trematomus bernacchii (emerald rockcod), 264 nucleotides long. RefSeq lists it as uncharacterized. Lineage: Eukaryota; Metazoa; Chordata; Actinopteri; Perciformes; Nototheniidae. The record is from RefSeq and is a predicted model, not a curated record. The transcript is spliced from 2 exons.
GUUUACCUGUGUGUUGUAGUUUCUCUGACCUCCUGCUGUGUGUUUAGGACACCUUUGAGCGAGCGAAGGCCUGGGUGAAGGAGCUGCAGAGGCAGGCCAGUCCCAACAUCGUGAUCGCUCUGGCUGGGAACAAGGCGGACCUGGCAGAGAGGAGACUAGUGGAGUACGAGGACGCCCAGACGUACGCUGAAGACACCGGCUUGCUCUUCAUGGAGACCUCUGCUAAAACAGCCAUGAACGUCAAUGAGCUCUUCCUGGCUAUUG